GGGUUGUGAGGUUAAGCGACUAAGCGUACACGGUGGAUGCCCAGGCAGUCAGAGGCGAUGAAGGGCGUGCUAAUCUGCGAUAAGCGUCGGUAAGGUGAUAUGAACCGCAACAACCGACGAUACCCGAAUGGGGAAACCCAGUGCAAUCCGUUGCACUAUCAUGUCAUGAAUACAUAGUGGCAUGAGGCGAACCGGGGGAACUGAAACAUCUAAGUACCCCGAGGAAAAGAAAUCAACCGAGAUUCCCCCAGUAGCGGCGAGCGAACGGGGAACAGCCCAGAACCUGAAUCAGUUUGUGCCUUAGUGGAAGCGUCUGGAAAGUCGCGCAGUAAAGGGUGACAGCCCCGUACACAAAAAGGCACUUGCUGUGAGUUCGAUGAGUAGGGCGGGACACGUGACAUCCUGUCUGAAUAUGGGGGGACCAUCCUCCAAGGCUAAAUACUCCUGACUGACCGAUAGUGAACCAGUACCGUGAGGGAAAGGCGAAAAGAACCCCGGCGAGGGGAGUGAAACAGAACCUGAAACCGUGUACGUACAAGCAGUGGGAGCACCUUCGUGGUGUGACUGCGUACCUUUUGUAUAAUGGGUCAGCGACUUAUAUUCUGUAGCAAGGUUAACCGUAUAGGGGAGCCGCAGGGAAACCGAGUCUUAACUGGGCGUUAAGUUGCAGGGUAUAGACCCGAAACCCGGUGAUCUAGCCAUGGGCAGGUUGAAGGUUGGGUAACACUAACUGGAGGACCGAACCGACUAAUGUUGAAAAAUUAGCGGAUGACCUGUGGCUGGGGGUGAAAGGCCAAUCAAACCGGGAGAUAGCUGGUUCUCCCCGAAAGCUAUUUAGGUAGCGCCUCGUGAACUCAUCUCCGGGGGUAGAGCACUGUUUCGGCUAGGGGGCCAUCCCGGCUUACCAACCCGAUGCAAACUGCGAAUACCGGAGAAUGUUAUCACGGGAGACACACGGCGGGUGCUAACGUCCGUCGUGAAGAGGGAAACAACCCAGACCGCCAGCUAAGGUCCCAAAGUCAUGGUUAAGUGGGAAACGAUGUGGGAAGGCACAGACAGCCAGGAUGUUGGCUUAGAAGCAGCCAUCAUUUAAAGAAAGCGUAAUAGCUCACUGGUCGAGUCGGCCUGCGCGGAAGAUGUAACGGGGCUAAACCAUGCACCGAAGCUGCGGCAGCGGCGCGAAUGCGUUGUUGGGUAGGGGAGCGUUCUGUAAGCCGUCGAAGGUGUGCUGUGAGGCAUGCUGGAGGUAUCAGAAGUGCGAAUGCUGACAUAAGUAACGAUAAAGCGGGUGAAAAGCCCGCUCGCCGGAAGACCAAGGGUUCCUGUCCAACGUUAAUCGGGGCAGGGUGAGUCGACCCCUAAGGCGAGGCCGAAAGGCGUAGUCGAUGGGAAACGGGUUAAUAUUCCCGUACUGGGUGUUACUGCGAAGGGGGGACGGAGAAGGCUAUGUUAGCCGGGCGACGGUUGUCCCGGUUUAAGCGUGCAGGCUUGAGUUCCAGGCAAAUCCGGAACUCUUUAAGGCUGAGGCGUGAUGACGAGGCACCACGGUGCUGAAGUAACAAAUGCCCUGCUUCCAGGAAAAGCCUCUAAGCAUCAGGUAACAUCCAAUCGUACCCCAAACCGACACAGGUGGUCAGGUAGAGAAUACCAAGGCGCUUGAGAGAACUCGGGUGAAGGAACUAGGCAAAAUGGUGCCGUAACUUCGGGAGAAGGCACGCUGGCGCGUAGGUGAAGCGACUUGCUCGUGGAGCUGAAGCCAGUCGAAGAUACCAGCUGGCUGCAACUGUUUAUUAAAAACACAGCACUGUGCAAACACGAAAGUGGACGUAUACGGUGUGACGCCUGCCCGGUGCCGGAAGGUUAAUUGAUGGGGUUAUCCGCAAGGAGAAGCUCUUGAUCGAAGCCCCGGUAAACGGCGGCCGUAACUAUAACGGUCCUAAGGUAGCGAAAUUCCUUGUCGGGUAAGUUCCGACCUGCACGAAUGGCGUAAUGAUGGCCAGGCUGUCUCCACCCGAGACUCAGUGAAAUUGAACUCGCUGUGAAGAUGCAGUGUACCCGCGGCAAGACGGAAAGACCCCGUGAACCUUUACUACAGCUUGACACUGAACAUUGAGCCUUGAUGUGUAGGAUAGGUGGGAGGCUUUGAAGCGUGGACGCCAGUCUGCGUGGAGCCAACCUUGAAAUACCACCCUUUAACGUUUGAUGUUCUAACCUGGCGCCGUUACCCGGCGUGGGGACAGUGUCUGGUGGGUAGUUUGACUGGGGCGGUCUCCUCCCAAAGAGUAACGGAGGAGCACGAAGGUCAGCUAAUCACGGUCGGACAUCGUGAGGUUAGUGCAAUGGCAUAAGCUGGCUUGACUGCGAGAGUGACGGCUCGAGCAGGUGCGAAAGCAGGUCAUAGUGAUCCGGUGGUUCUGAAUGGAAGGGCCAUCGCUCAACGGAUAAAAGGUACUCCGGGGAUAACAGGCUGAUACCGCCCAAGAGUUCAUAUCGACGGCGGUGUUUGGCACCUCGAUGUCGGCUCAUCACAUCCUGGGGCUGAAGUAGGUCCCAAGGGUACGGCUGUUCGCCGUUUAAAGUGGUACGCGAGCUGGGUUUAGAACGUCGUGAGACAGUUCGGUCCCUAUCUGCCGUGGGCGCUGGAAGAUUGAGAGGGGUUGCUCCUAGUACGAGAGGACCGGAGUGAACGCACCGCUGGUGUUCGGGUUGUCAUGCCAAUGGCAUUGCCCGGUAGCUAAGUGCGGAAAAGAUAAGCGCUGAAAGCAUCUAAGCGCGAAACUUGCCUCGAGAUGAAUCUUCCCUGACUCCUUGAGAGUCCUGAAGGGACGUUGAAGACGACGACGUUGAUAGGCCGGAUGUGUAAGCGCAGCGAUGCGUUGAGCUAACCGGUACUAAUGACCCGUGAGGCUUAACCUUGCAACGCCAGAAGCGUUCUG
RNAcentral lists this ribosomal RNA (2936 nucleotides) under Erwinia amylovora. Its description in RNAcentral is "bacterial LSU rRNA". It matches the Rfam family "Bacterial large subunit ribosomal RNA". Lineage: Bacteria; Pseudomonadati; Pseudomonadota; Gammaproteobacteria; Enterobacterales; Erwiniaceae. The record is from RNAcentral.